GAGCAAGAGGACAAACCUGGGUAGGGAUCUCUAUGAUGUUUUCUGCGUUGCCCGUGGACGUUCAUCUUUCUGAUUUGUUAGCUGAAGAUGAGGAUCUGGAGCAGGAGCUCGGAGUGCCAUUGUUCCAUGGGCAGAUGUGCAGCAGAGAUUAGCAUUAGGAAGACAAGCAGGGCCUUCAGUAGGCAUAAGGUGAUGAGGUUCAUGCCGUUGGAUCCCACGGGUGCCCUGGGGAAGAGAUGGUUGGGAAGUCUGAGAGGAAGCAGGAGAGCUUUCGGAGCACAUGGAUGCCGUCCAGAAUGGAGAUGGUUGUGGCUCGGAAGAAAAAGAAAUCACCCAGCUCGGAGUCAGGAUACAUUUGGAGGUCCAGGCCGCCGAGUUUGCUGGUGGGGAAGAUAGGCACCAGAAAGGAAAGAGGACAUCCAGGGCAAUUUCUUCUGCCCCCCAGCCAAUCCGUACAUUGUCCAGAGGGUCUUGCUCUGUCAUCCAGGCUGGCGCGAUCUCGGCUCACUUUGACCUCUGCCUCCUGGGUUCAAGCGAUUCUCCUGUCACAGCCUCCUGAGCAGCUGGGAUUACAGGCCAAGCCUACUGCUGUUAGAAAACAUAUUUAGAAAUCACUUGGUUCUUCCUUGCCUGAACAUCAUCUAUUUAGUUAGCUUGUGUUGUUUAGAUGUGCUUCAGAUCUCAAAAAAAUAAAUUAUGUUAUUU
Molecule: long non-coding RNA, 705 nt
Filed under: Homo sapiens (human)
Lineage: Eukaryota; Metazoa; Chordata; Mammalia; Primates; Hominidae
Description: HSALNT0355825
Source: RNAcentral